GGUGAACGCUAGCGGGAGGCUUAACACAUGCAAGUCGAGGGGCAGCAUAGGGUAGCAAUACUCUGAUGGCGACCGGCAAACGGGUGAGUAACGCGUGGGUAACCUGCCCUCUAGACUGGGACAACAGCUCGAAAGGGCUGCUAAUACCGGAUGUGAUUACCGUACCGCCUGGUAUGGUAAUGAAAGUGCUUAGCGCUAGAGGAUGGACCCGCGUCCCAUUAGCUAGUUGGUGAGGUAACAGCUCACCAAGGCGACGAUGGGUAGCCGGCCUGAGAGGGUGACCGGCCACACUGGGACUGAGACACGGCCCAGACUCCUACGGGAGGCAGCAGUAGGGAAUCUUGCGCAAUGGGGGGAACCCUGACGCAGCGACGCCGCGUGAGCGACGAAGGCCUUCGGGUCGUAAAGCUCUGUCCUAUGGAAGAUAGAGACGGUACCAUAGGAGGAAGCCCGGCUAACUACGUG
This 465-nucleotide ribosomal RNA is filed under the name uncultured bacterium. RNAcentral's name for it is "bacterial SSU rRNA". It matches the Rfam family "Bacterial small subunit ribosomal RNA", at positions 28 to 507 of the family's 1533-position model. The record is from RNAcentral.